AGAUUGAUUGCCCACCGACAGUGACAAAUAUCAUCAUCAUCAUCAUCGUCGUCGUCCUCGUCAAACCUUGCUCCCCCACCACAUGAAUGUUCUGUCCACACACCCACACGGGUCUGUGUGUGUUUGUUAUAUGUAUCACUGGGAAGCUGGCAUGUGGCUGAGUGGGGGACACACCAAAGAAAGACUACUCAUCCCUGCUCCCUCCUUGAAUAAUUGAUUGACACUACGCUACACAAUCCUCACCUCACUCCUCCCCACCCCCUAAUCACCAAUCCCUAUUAUUAUUAUUUAUUACAUUACUGCUGCCUGCAAAUAUUUUUCAGUAUUGCCCAUAAAGCCCAAGACCCCAUCAUGUUUUCUCUAUCACCUUUUCUUUUGUCAUCUCUCCCUCACAUCACUGUUGACGCACAGUGUUUCCCCCACCUAAAUACACCAUUUUCCCAAAUGCAGACACCUUAAAAACCCACCUAAUUCAAGAAAACAGAUCAAGAAACUUUUGCUAGUCUUUCUCUCUCUCCUCACCAAGAACUAGACUGCUCUCUUUUCCGUUCAUGCUUUGUUCUUCAAGAUGCCAAGGCCAGGCCCAAGACCUUAUGAGUGUGUUAGAAGAGCUUGGCACAGCGAUAGACACCACCCCGUUAGGGGUUCUCUUAUUCAAGAAAUUUUCAGGAUUGUCAACGAGGUUCAUUGUUCUGCUACUAGAAAGAACAGAGAAUGGCAGGAGAAGCUCCCCAUUGUUGUCUUAAGAGCUGAAGAAAUUAUGUAUUCUAAAGCCAACUCUGAGGCUGAGUAUUCGGACCUUAAAACUCUUUGGGACAGAGUAAAUGAUGCGAUUAACACGAUAAUUCGAAGAGAUGAGAGUAGUGAAACUGGGGAACUUCUACAACCUUGUAUUGAAGCUGCACUGCAUUUGGGAUGCACUCCCAGAAGAUCAUCAAGAAGCCAGCGCAAUGACUCUCCGAGAUGUUACCUUAGGCCUGAAACUUUAGACUCAACCUCUUUGCCAGACAGCAAUUCUAAUGCUCAACUUUAUGGAGACAAUACAACCAGUGGUCUUCUCAUGCUCCAUUACCCACAAUAUUCAAGACCCGGUACCAUGAAUCCCUUGAAUUCUUGCCUAAAGGCUGAAAAUCUUUGUAUUCAGAGCAGAAAUUCUGAUUAUAUGAAGAAGCCUCCUAUCUUACCUAAGAAUUUUGCUCCAAGUGAUAACCAUCACGUAUCGGUACAAACUUAUUCCUCAUCAAAUGCAUGGUUUGCCUAUCCGUUGUACUAUGACAAUCGAAUUGGACCUGAUGACCCAAAGUUUUGUUCAUUAAAACCUUCAAACUCAUAUUCUCACUUCAUAGACAGCAAGAAACUUGGUCACCAGCAAAGUCAUUCCUCCUUUAAGCUCGAUGCUUCGGACCUUAAUUCUCCAUCCAAUCAUGAACAUACUUCAAACAGAGGACAGGCAAUUGAGUGUGAUUUAACAUUGCGCCUGGGCUCUGUAGUAGUUCCAUGUGCUAGUAUUGACAAUAGUUGGCCCCUACAAGUAGAAAAUGGGAAAUCAAGCACUCUAGAGGGCAGAAAAUUCAGGAACUGUCUCAACACAUGAACAAAAUUUCUCCUUCGUUCAGGCCAGUUUUGAUUAUAUGUUGGAUUUCUUCAAGAACUGUAGUUUUGAGAAUCAAAAGCAGAUAGUAGAGGCAACAGGACGUAAAUGAAAAGCCUUUGUACGCCAUCAUUGAGAACGAACAACUCUUCAUCGGCAGUCUUGGCUUGGUUCUUUGGAGGGAAAUGCAAUGGACUUCGACAUACUUACAGAGACACAUCCAGUUUCCAGAGUUUUGAAACUAAGAAUCUGCUUUUAUGAGGCCGUUGCUGUGCAAUGUUGAUGGUAAUUAGGGAAACUUUCUAAGAGGUGAAGGACGCAGCAUAUAUUGCCCAAAGAGUUCAAACUUGUCCUGCUGCUUUUGCCACUCAAAGCUGAUUCUAUUGCACGACUCUUUUUGAGAAGAAGAAAGUGGGUUAGUACAACUCUCCAUGUAGCAUUUCAGGAAAAAGGCCGUGUCUUGACAAAGAGAAUGGGUAUAGAAAGAUAAUAAUUUGCCAUGAUGUUAAGUUAUUCACCUUGCCCAAUGUCUUGGCAUCAUUAGUCAUCAGAAUAGCAUGUCUCUCUUUGCUCGAGUUUGUAGGUCCCUACAUGCCUUGAGCAUCUUUGUUUUUCAGCUAGUGACAACUCCAUCUUUAUUGAUGGCGAUUUGAAGAAAUCAUCAAGUUAAAGAUAAGAGGGGCCAUCUCUAUACUGCACCGAGAUUUGACCUUUUAUUUACAGUGGGACUUUAGAAAGGAGUGGCUCAAAGCACCCGCUUCAUGCGCACAUGGACUUCUGAUUGGCCAAUGGCCCCAACACUAUUGUAACUUAUUACCACCGAAUAACAGAACCUCAGGAAAAAGAUGAGGUGGUAGUUACAGAAGAAAGGGGAGACGAUGUUGAGGAUGGAGGAAGAGAAGAUGAGCAGCUGUAGUUGAACUCUAUCUGUAGCCGGUGAUGGAGGGAGAAGUAAGAACCAGCCUUCUUUUUC
Non-coding RNA from Sesamum indicum (sesame), 2564 nucleotides. The record is from RefSeq and is a predicted model, not a curated record. NCBI's taxonomy places the organism in Eukaryota, Viridiplantae, Streptophyta, Magnoliopsida, Lamiales, Pedaliaceae.